Long non-coding RNA from Juglans microcarpa x Juglans regia, 604 nucleotides. RefSeq lists it as uncharacterized. The record is from RefSeq and is a predicted model, not a curated record. The transcript has 2 exons. NCBI's taxonomy places the organism in Eukaryota, Viridiplantae, Streptophyta, Magnoliopsida, Fagales, Juglandaceae.
AGCUUGUGCUGCAUCUAUCCUUCCUUGGAUGUCUGAAACUCUUCUCUUCAUAUCCACGCACGGAAAUUUGUUGAAUGGAUUAUUGUAUUUGUUUCUAAGAUAGACGAACGUUAUUUUGUCAUGUUUAAUCUGUCAUUGCUUUGUCCCUUGGUUUUAAUUUAGAUGAUAUCUGUUCUCAUUGCCUCUUUCCCGCUGAAAGUGUGAUUCUCGGACUGAAAGUUUCGAUAUUUCAUGAAUUUUAGAUGUGGAGUUUGUGGAUUCUCUUUGUUCUGGAUAUUAAAUGUAAUUCGCUUUAUCAAAAAUGUUGACCAAUGAUGAUAAAUCUUAAGGCUUGUUUCUCAAAACAUUCGCAGUGGCCGCCUAAGAGCUUUCGCCUCGCCAGGCUUGAGAGUUUGUGCUGCAUUAUUCCUUCCUUGGAUGUCUGAGGUCUUCAUCUUAUGAUACUUGUUAUAUUACGUCGUCUUAUCCACAGUCAUAAGUUUCAAUUCUUUCGUUUUGGUCUUUGUAUUCUUUUGGUGGAUGUUCCGUCUAAGGUUCGAUUUCUCUAGAAGUGUAAACCAAUUCUCUAAUUAGAUAGCCACUCAGAUGAGUGGUUUAACAUCAA